This 420-nucleotide ribosomal RNA is filed under the name uncultured bacterium. RNAcentral describes it as "bacterial SSU rRNA". It matches the Rfam family "Bacterial small subunit ribosomal RNA", at positions 355 to 774 of the family's 1533-position model. The record is from RNAcentral.
UAAGGAAUAUUGCUCAAUGGGAGAAAUCCUGAAGCAGCAACGCCGCGUGGAGGAUGAAGGGUCUAUGACUUGUAAACUCCUGUAAAGAAGGAAAAAAUUCCCAUUAGAUGGGAGAUGAUGGUACUUCUGGAGUAAGCCCCGGCUAACUACGUGCCAGCAGCCGCGGUAAUACGUAGGGGGCAAGCGUUGUCCGGAUUUACUGGGUGUAAAGGGUGCUCAGGCGGAUUUGUAAGUCAGAGGUGAAAUCUUACAGCUUAACUGUGAAACUGCCUGUGAUACUGCAAGCCUAGAGUAUGGAAGAGAGUGAUGGAAUAUCUGGUGUUGCAGUUAAAUGCGUAGAUAUCAGAUAUAACACCAAUGGCGAAGGCAGUCACUUGGUCCAUUACUGACGCUAAAGCACGAAAGCGUGGGUAGCAAACA